CUGCAUUCUUAAACCCUCUUGGUAGCUUCGUUCUAAGUGCUCCCAAGAUAUGAGUGAAUGCUAUAGAAAUUGCAGGGGAGUCCAAAGGGCUGCGCUUCUCCCGUGGCUCAGUCUUAUUUCAUACCUGCGACAUCU
Molecule: small nucleolar RNA, 135 nt
Organism: Macaca mulatta (Rhesus monkey)
Lineage: Eukaryota; Metazoa; Chordata; Mammalia; Primates; Cercopithecidae
Gene: SNORA14B
Product: small nucleolar RNA, H/ACA box 14B
Source: Ensembl